RNAcentral lists this ribosomal RNA (2820 nucleotides) under Triticum aestivum (bread wheat). RNAcentral describes it as "partial small subunit ribosomal RNA". Lineage: Eukaryota; Viridiplantae; Streptophyta; Magnoliopsida; Poales; Poaceae. The record is from RNAcentral.
AUUUGUCCCAUCCAGACGCCGCGCCCGCACCCAACGCAACCCAAUCCCCUCGUCCCGCACGCCGUGCACACUUCGGUCCCCUCAUCCCACACGAACCCUAGGAGAGAGAGAUAGGAAGAUGAGAGGGAGAGAAAGGGGAGAGGAGAGGAGAGGGAGGUCCGGCAGCGGACGGGAGAGGGUGACCGGCCGGCGUCGGCCUACACCGGCGAGGCGUCGGCCUGCGCCCCUCCUCGCGCACGAACCCUAGCUGAGAGACAAAAUGAGGAGGAGAGAGAGAAGGAAGGAGAGGAGGGAGAAAGAUAGAGGAAAGAGGAAAGGGAGGUGCGGCGGCUGACAGGAGAGAGGGUCAUCGGCCGGCGCUGGAGAGGAUGGGCCCAACCUGGACGCGACCUGGAGGUUGGCGGCGGCUCGAUCCACUCCUGGAUCGGGACCUGCGACGAGGCUGGGGCUCGGGCGCGUUGUACGGGAGGCUGCACUCCGCCUCUUCCUCGUUAGCUCUUCUUCUUCACUGCCUUAAUUACCAGGACAACCAUUUUGUUGCUUCCUUUACAAAUAGAGUGUGUUAGACUUUCUCUUUGUUUGUCUCAUCUCCUUCUUAAGUGACUGGUUCCUGCACGGUUAUUGGCUUCUCCAAUGGAUCAUGUAGGUAGAAACUAAAAAGAACUGGAUAAUUUCUUUUACCCUUCUUUUAAUUUCAAUAGGAUUCCCGAGUUCAGAAUUGACAAUUCACAUCAGUAAUCAGUACAGAGCAGAUCAAUUGAUUUUCAUAAAAACGCAUAUUAGAAUUAUCAUUGGAUUGGUUUUCAUGUGCCUUUAUUAGACAUAUAGUGCAGAGGGAGUAAAUUAGUUUCACAGAAUGUUUCCUUGGAUUUUAGUUGCACUUCAUUCUGUUGUUUCGGUCUUUGUACAUUCAGAUGCUUUUUAAUUCAAAAGGAAACAACUCACAGAGGUUAUGUAUGGGAGGCUACACUCUGCCUCUUCCUCGUGGUGCGGCGGACGGCGGCUCUUGCGGUCGUGUGCUGACGACGGCCUCAGCGGGUGGGCGACCAAUGGCGGUGCCAGGGGUUAGCUGUGUAGGCAACUGACUACACAACAUAUUGGCAUGCAUUAGUAGACAUCAAGCAAAAACCAGUUUUCACACAUGCAUAAGUAUUUGACAUCACAACGUUGAACUCUUGCCUUCACCACUGUGGGCGACUACACUUGCAGCUGGCGCUUCGCCACUGUGGGCGACUACACUUGCAGCUGGCGCUAUACCCAUGGAUUCCGGCAUUAGCUCGAAACGCUCAGGACAAAUUAGGUCUCGACCAAUGGUGGAGAAGACAGAGUACAGGGAUGAGCCGCUCGAGCAUGGUUUGAUGGGAUGUUCGCGCGCAAGAUGCAGAAGUUCGCCAGAAGGAAGAAGAGCUGGGCGUCGAGGAGGAGAAGAAGGUGGUAUGCGAGGUGCUUGUAGGCCCAGCAGCAGGAGGCCGUCCUUGAGGUGCUCCUCUGGAUGAUCCCUUCCGGCGCUGGGUCUACGUGUUCAAUGCUGCCCUCACCAUCCCCUUCUUCCAUUGGCUCAUCGGCCCGUCAGAGUUCAGAGAUCUAAUACUCCGCACUGCCUCCCAUCCAUUUUCAGAUAUAUAUAUAUUUAUAUAAGGUUUAUCAUCACCCCAUGGAUCAUGUGUUGUUGAUUGACCAGGUUAUUGAGGUGGAGGUCAACGGGGUGAGGAACAGAAGUGGAGUGCUCAUAAAGAAACGAAGCUGCUCCCUGGACUCGCCAGUGCCGCCGCCUCCAGUCGCUUCCGCCUAGGCAUCCCGUCGCUAGCAAGAUUGAACUGACCAAUCCGUGUGAUUGAGGAAUCCUUGUGGAGAAAAAGAAUUCAAGGAACUCCACAUCUCCGAGUACAGAGGAUUUCAAGAAAAAAAAAGUGUGCUGGAGCAAGAAAGGGAACAUGGGAAAGGCUGCGUACUAUAGACCCAAAGUGGUCGGACCCUUCCCUGGACCCUGCGCAAGCGGGAGCUACAUGCACCAGGUCAUAUUGCCAGCACAUUCCAAGCGGAAUGGAGUGCCCAGUUUUGUCCAGAAAGCUGAGGCCUUCUGGUGGUUUAGCAUGAUAUUUCCUUAGUUGUCUUUUUGACUAGAAGAAGGAAGAAGUGUUGCUUGACUGGAAUGAGAUCACAAAGGAAUCUGAGACGAGCUUUGCUACAUAAAGUAGUCUGAUGUGAUCUCCAUAUUCAUACAUAAUAUAUCGAUGUUAUGUGCACAUUAGAAGUUGUCAAAUAUCUCCUGGUCAUAGGUAUCUUGCAUAUACUCUUGAUACAUCUAGGGGAAACUGUUUUCGCUGGAACUGAAAGAUCUUCAGUCUAGGUUAUGUUUCUAAAGCUCCAUGCUUAAUCAUCCAGACUGUUUCCAAGUGACUACUUUACACAUGGGAGACUGGAUGCCUGGAGGAGUUCAGAGAAGCUGGUGUUAUGUUACAUAUGGUCUUCAAGCUAAUGUUAUGUUUCUUGCAUGGUUUGUAUAUUUGUUGCAAAAACAUAGUACAAGAAAAAGAUCUAUGCUCAUGAAGAUGGCAGAAGGGAACUACAUGUGGAACUAGAACCACCAGCGCUGACCAGUUGGGCAUCUGGAUAGUGGUAGUGAACAAAAAUUGCUUGCCAUAUAGAGUCAAUGUAUUCUACUACUAUCACACUCGCUGAUUUUUAUGUUAUGAAAUUAUAGUUCAACCAUAGUAUGUAUUUACACUCCUGCUGUGAGAUUGUACUAUGUAAAUUAUGGGAGGACAAUAUAGGUCUUUAUAUGCAAAAAACUCCUUGUUGAAAUGAGUAACUUGAGCC